UGCAAGCAGCAGAGGCACCACGGGCUGUGGCUCGUUGUUGUCACCGGGGAAUGGUUCAUCAUUGUCACCGGGGAACGGUUCGUUGUCACCGGGAAGGGCUCUGGGUGGCUCCGGAACAUCAGGAUGGCAGCAGCGGCUGGUGGAAAACGCGUGUGGUGUUCUGGCUGUUCCUUUAGGCUGAGGAGAUAGGACAUAGACAUAAAAUCUGGUUUGCUGUGAGAACUGAGAAAGAAAGGUGCAGCAGUGCUGAGGUAUGAAUACUUGAAUUCAAAUAUUGCCUAUUAUAAAAGGACAAAAGUGACUUAGGCCAUGGGAUUCAUCUAAUGCUUUCAGAUCAUUAAAACAAAUAAUUUAUUGUUUCUAUUAGGACUUUGCUAUAGCUGGGCGUGGAGGGAUUUAGAUCACCUUUUUCAGUUUUUCCUCUAUGACCUGAGAGCUGUAACCUUACUUUUGUAAACUCGCGAGUAUUUCCAAGACGUGACACUGUGCAGCAUUGAGUUGUGUGAUCAGAGCACAAGUGCUGGUGGUGUGCUUUCUGCUGGGAGCAUUGACAGGCUUCAUUAGCUCUCUCUUCUCCAACUGCUGUGUGUGGCCCUGGGGGCCCGCCGUGUCACCCACAGACACCUCAGCCCUGGACAUGGCUGGUGUCACCCACAGACACCACAGCCCCAGCUCCUGCGUGUCCCUUUGGCAGGUCGAUCCUUCCCAGUCCCUCGGUGGCGUUUCAGGGUGGGGGCAGGAGCAGCGUUUGGGGGCUGGGGGAGCGGCUGCAGGGCCCCGCCGUGCCCAAACCCCACCGUGCCCAAACCCACCCAUGCAAGUGGGAACUGAGAGGGGAGAGAGGGACAGUCCUGGCGAGGCGCAGGCAGCUUCAUCCAGCACCCCAAGCUCAGUUCCGCCCUGGCAGUCGCCGUCCUGGGGGCUGUUGUCCCUGAUCUGUCUCUUGCCUGCAUGGCAGAGAAUUGUAAAUUCCCAUUUUAUUGAAUAAGAAAAAGCACCAAUCUCUUGCUGUUGGAAGAGAUCCUUCAAAACGUGGGCAGGCGAGUGCUCUGGGGCAGCCAUGGGGCUGGAAGCAGCGGGAUGGCGUGUGCACGUGUGUGUUGACACACACACUGGGCACACACGUGUGUGUUGGCACAGCUCCUGUCCCCAGCGCCGUGCGGAGCACUCGGCACCCGAUGGCUGGAAGCGGAGGCAGGGCAAUGGCAGCGGGGUGGAAAAGCAGGCCAAACUGUAUUCAUGUAGUUAUUUGCAUUGAAGUGUUUUGAUUGAGCCAUCUUCACUCCACUCUCACAAUGAUUUCAAGCGCGCGUUUAAGCCCGCUGGUUUUGCAUGUAUAAUAACUCAGCUCCAGUUCUGCAGGUGAUGUGAACACACCUGGUGCAGCCGAGGCACCGCGGCAGUGUCGCUCUCUGCGUGUAGGGCGCCUUGCUGCGGACUCCGGGCUCGUUAGUUUGGUCAGACAAAGAGUCCUUGGCUAGCAUAGAAACUGCAGUGUUCUGUGAAACAGAAGCUUCUUUCCUCUCAUCCAUCGCUUCAUUUAAAAUUUAAAAAGUGGGUAUCUUGGUAAACCUCCUUGCCCGUUUACAUAAAAAUCUUGGUAGGUGAUGCAUUAAGCUGCUUCCCUGUCAUUAUUUGCAAAUUUGUAACCCCUGAACAGGGCACUGAUUUCAUCCGCCGCUUGUCAUCUCAUCCCGUUCACACCAUUGUUUUUAAGCCAUUAGGAAAAUAACCUUUCAUGGGGGUUUGUUCCCCGCUGCAGGCAGAGGGAGCCUGAGCCCCAGCGGCCGCAGCCUCCGCCGCCGAUGUUUGCUGCCGUGUUCGGCCCCGAGACCCAAAGGUUCUGUAGGAGGCAGAAGAGUUCAUGAAAACAAAACCAGAAGUGAUAAACCGGUCUGUGUGUUAAUUUUCAGCCGGGUCUGGUGCCCAGACCAGACCCAGGCCAGGACAGCAGCAAGGUGAAUUGAAAAAGGAGAAAGGGAAGAGCAUUGCGUGGUUCUCGCAUUCAUUUUGAAGUUAUUGAAAGUGUAGUGACCCAAGGGAUGGGAAAACGGGUGUUGAAAUGAGUAUUUUGAAAUGAUACAAAUAACGAUGCUGAAUCUUUUCCUCUAUGUCAAUACUGAUAAAUGUGUCUAGAGAACUUACAGUACUGGAGGUUAAAACAUAACAUUAACUUGCGUCUGAGAAAUGAAGCUGGUUUAAUUUAUAUUUAUUGUUUAAAAACAGCCAUAGAAAGCUUCUUGUCAUAAUUUAUUCUUGAAAUGAGUCUUGCCUCAAGGGUUACCAUAGUUACAGAUGUUUCUGACUUUGUAAUGUAAGCACCAUCAACAUUUACGGCACAACGAGAGCCUCUAAUUGAUUUUUGUACGUGGAGAGCAGAAAGCGAGCGCUGGGCAAGACGCGCGGGGCUUAAUUGCAGGUUUCUGGGGGACCCGCUGAUGUGAUCGUGCGUCAAAGGGCUGUGAUGGUUCGAACAACAAAUGUUCGUGCUCAUAAAUAAUUUGACAAAUGGCGAGAUUAAUCUUAUGAGCUGAGAGCAGCCACGGAUGGAGCGGAGGGCAAUCAAGAGCUGGGGUUCAGCUGCAGCAUCCCCCACCGAGCCCCAGUGCUGCUGGAAGGGCCCCAGGGUGCUGGGGGAGGGGCACAGCCCCCUGGGACCCCCGGCAUGGGGCUGGGGGGGCACAGCCCCCUGGGACCCCCAGCAUGAGGCUGGGGGGUGGCCAGCCAUGCUUGUUUUGUACAGGAGAGUGGGAAGCUGGAUUGCAUGGAGCAUCCCAAACCAGAAGCCUCAAUCUGAAGCGUAGGGAAUAGUGUGGGGAGGAAGGCACAAGGCGAUGCCACGAGGUGCCUGCAUCCUGUGAUGCUGCUGUGACACAGUCUGGAGAACUGAAAAAGUGCAUGGGUGUCCCACCUCCCCUCCCGCGGGUGCUGCAAGCCCUUUGGGGUGGUGCAGAAGUCUUUUCUGUGCUAUCGACACCUAUUCGCUGUGGCUGAGUGUGUGGUUUGUGGUGAACAACAGCCGUGAGAGGCUGUAAUGCAUCUGCUUUGGAAACCUUUCAAACCCGGCUUGUGGGGUUCCAGUGGUGCCCGGCUGGGGCUGAACCUGGGACACGGGGCAGCUGAGCUGGUGGUCUGACCCGCAGGUCUGACCCGCAGGUCUGGCACCAGCUGCAGCAUCCUCCCCUCGCCCAGCCCCGACACGGCUGCAGCCGGGGCCGUACAGCCCCCCCCCCGCCACCGGCUGGUGUCACAGCCCCCCCGCUGGUGUCACCCUGUCCCCCGCACCGAGACCUGUCAGCUCCCCAUGGCCAGAACAGCCACCUCUCUGGUCACCAAGCUGUCCUCACCGCAGGCUCUUCAACUGACCUGAAAUGUUAGCUAGCAAGGAAAAAAGGGUUUUUGCUAUGAAAUUUUUUAAAAUGGUAUUUCUAAAUGUUUGAGCCAAGUUAGCCAUGUUAACAAUGAUAUUUACGUCAUCAACAUGAAGGUCUGGUUAUGUAGUGUAUUUUUCACAAUUACCUUGUUCCACCUUCAUAAUAACAGAAAAUAGUGAUUCACGUUGUGCAGAAACAGCAUCAAUUUACACCAAGAAAAGUAAAUCCAUUGUCCAUGUCUCUGACCCGAGGGACUGUCACUUCCGUAAAAUGUGCGAAGUCUUUUUAAAAUGUAAUCUCAUUUUCUGUAAUUGCCUCUCACCAGGACGUUCUUAUUCCUUCUUUCCUGUUUGAUUGUUUCGAGCUACUCUUGAUCAGGCAACAAUGGGAUCAGGAGAGAAGUAUCCGAGGGAGAAAACAAGGUGGAUUAAGGAGUUAAGGCUGUAGAAAAUCAGGAAAGACUAGGAAUUUCAGUUUCUGCAGCCAAAGGCUGACGCUUCUGAGCUUUGUGAGAGCAGUUUAGCAGCUGAUGUGAGAACAGGCUAAACCCCAUCUCCUUAAACCCGCUUUCCUCGCCUCCCGCUGUCACCCACAUACAACUUUAUUGGGUUUUUUUUACUGUUUUGAGGAGAUUCAGGCCAUGAGAUAAAGGAAAUGGUGCAAAGAGACACAUGGCGCAGUGAUUUGUGCAGUAAGUCGCGUUUCCAGGCUGCUCGUGGUUGUUCUGGUGAUCACAUCCUGGAGCCGCCGGCGUGUCCGUCGGUGGCCACGGUGCCACGGAACCCGCGCCAGUGCGCUCCACAAACCCACUCCUGGUUAAAGCUUUAAAGACAACGGAAAUUCCUUAAGAAAACAGAAAAUACUUAGAAAAAGUAUUAAAAUAUGUCAGGAAAAAUGCACAAACUUGAGCUAGACCUGAGGGUGCUAUAAGAAUUACGUUAUAUUUUUCAUGGAAUGGUGGCAGGCGUUGUUUCCCGCAUGGAGAGUUGCCUGGGAGCCCACAAUGCUCAUAAAGCCUGUGAGGUUGGAUAUUAACCACAAUGGUACAGCCGAACAGAACCUGGAAAUGGAGGCGGAAUAAAGGUGUUCCCUUACAGGAGCCCUGAUGGGAAAUGAAACGCAAAUACGCUCAGCCUCUUUGAAAAAGGACCUAAGUCCUUCCUAUAGUAAAAUAAGCAUGGAAAUGAACUUUAUUCUGCUGCUUUCUGACUUGAAAUACACAUAAAAUUGUCAUGUUGUGACAACUGGAACCCACUGUGCGAGGCAAAGAAAUAGCUCGAGAGAAAUAUGGGAAGCAGAGAAAUGCACUGAAGUGUUACUGAAACGGCUGGUUGAGGGGACUGAAGGGCUCAGCAAGCAGAGCGCCAGUAACGAAAUCAGUGCCUGCAGGAAAAGGGAGCAAAGUACCCAGAGAGCCAUCCUGCUGUGUCGCACCAGUAAAAUGAGCACUUCACGGCAGCCCCGCAGCGCCGCCCGGCAGCCCGGACGGGGCGCUGGAUCCACCACACCGCCCCUGUGCUGAGGGUGAGCAGCGCAGGCUUGGGCUGGGGAACCUCCCGGAGCCCAUGGUGGGGUGUGUUGGUGGUCCCGUCCCACCCAAACAGCACUCCGUGGCCCCAGGUCACCUCCUGCAGGUGGUCCCAUGGGCUUGCCUGAGAGUGAGAAGAGCAGCACAUGGCAAAAUACAACUGUCCUUCAAUCCUGAAAUCAAGAGGUGAUGGGGACUGGAGUCUCAGGCCAGCCGCAGUCAGGACUCGGUGUCCUGUUGGUGAAUGAGCCGUGCUGGGCUGUGAGAGAGGUGUGGAGAGCAUCGGUGAGAGAGCAGCACUCAGGCUCCAUGUGGAAAGAAAGGGGAGAGGGGGGCAAAGCAAUGAGACAGAAAAACAGCCUCGAUGCAGGGAUCCCGAGAGGAUGCAGGGACACACACCGGAGCCUGGUGUGCUGUGUUGUUUGAUAGAUCCCUGCUCAAACUCUUAACUGUGGAUCUCAAAAUUCAAGCGUCAACUAACCAGCAACAAUAUUGCUGAUAAGAGUGAGGGCAGCUUAGGCUUUUCCUGUUCUAUUAAUUUCUGUUCUGUAACUUUCAUGCUCUGUUCAUAGCCUGCAAGCCAGGGGUUAUUGCAUGGGUCAGGAGAGCAGCCCAGGAGAGAAAAGAAACCCCAGCUCUGCGGGCAGGGAUGGGCAGCAGGACCUGCCUGGCCAGGGUCCCCAGGCACAGGGUUCCGGAAUGGACACUCGGGAGCGCACAGCUCAGGUGAUGGAGCAGAGCACUGCACUGCAGAACACCAGCAGAAACGCAGAGCGGUGGCUGCUGCUCCCAGGGGUGCUCCCCGGGGCAGUAGCCCCCGCGUCCUGCUGCUCCCCGGGGCAGUAGCCCCCGCGCUGCUGCCGCGUCCCGCGCCGUGCUGGGCAGGGCUCCCCGAUCCACCUUGGCAGCAAGCUGGCAGCUGGAGGUUUGCCAGUCCCGCUUUCCUCACGGGUUUGUACCUCUCAUGUUCAAACAGUAUUUAUUUAAAUCGGCUGAUGGUAGCAGAAUUAAUUUGUUUUGAAGGCUGAGCCAGAAAGUAUUUGGCAGUUGGAUGGGAAAAUCUAAAACAAACAAACAAAACCCCUUAAACCAUAAAUCGUUGCUUAAUUCUCCAGCUUUGUGCACAAAACACCUUGGAGAACUGCUUAGUUCUGUAAGGGUAACGAGGCAGGAGUUGUUCCGUGUCGCAGCUGCAGUGUCAGUGUAUGGUGGUUGCUGCGGUGUCCCCAGCACGGGCUCUGCGGUCACUGUCACCGGGUGCCAGGAGCUGUGGGUGGGUUCCCGUGGUACCCGUCAGGGUAACCGAGCGGAACCGCUGACCGGCUUUUCUUUGUGUUAAUAACAAGGGCAAGACAGGAAUCAGAGCUUUAAUCUCCCUUCUCCAAGAGUGUAAUACCAUUUUGGCUAUAGGUGUCAAGGCCAUGCGAAAUAGAAAUGGGAAAUAAGCAAGAGAAAACAGUUGGAAGAAAAUGUUUAAUAUUUCUUUGUGAUGUUUCCUACACAAAUACCAUGGGUUGUGACUUUCACGCUGAUUUGACUACUGAUGCAAUUCAAGAUUGUACUCCAGCAGUACAGAUGCUACAGGGUCCCUGGAAAGUUGGUUCCAGCACCCAUGGCCAGGGCUCUGGUGUCUGUGGGUGAUAUCGGCCAUGUCCAGGGCUGCGGUUUCUGUGGGUGACACCGGCUACAUGGCCGGGGCUCGGGUGUCUGCGGGUGACACCGGCCGUGGCUGGGGCUCUGGUGUCUGCGGGUAACACUGGCUGUGGCUCUGGUGUCUGUGGGUGACACUGGCCAUGUCCAGGCCCAGCACCCAGCCCUGCCACCACGUCGUCCUCACCCGGCUCUCCCAGCAAUCCUGAUCCCCUGGCACCUCAGAGCUGGGGCAUCUUUGGGGGAAAAAAAUACUGGUGCUGCAAGAACCUCCCAAUACUUUGUGAGGCAGAUGAACAUCUCCAUAAACAGCUCCGGGCUGAGAAUCCCAUUCUGGUUUUACUUGUGUCCCAAGACACUUGAACAAAAGUUUUCAGAAGGGAAAGACUAAUAAAUCAAGACUGUGCUUCUCCGAGCUGCUCGAGGGAGCUGGUUAAAAUUAGCACGGAAUGUGGGCUGGAGGAGCGCGGCCUCGCCUCCCCGCGCCCGCGGGACCGCGCUGCCAGCGCUCCGGCUCUUCCAAAAAAGGCGAAAAGCAGCUCUGGGGCACAGCGGCCGGUUCCCGCGCACCCGCCGGGCGCUGGGGCAGGUGCCCACCUGCAGGCGGGAAACGAGCGCUCGGGCACGGCGGAGGAGCCAAGGCUGGAACUGCAAACUCCAGUUUAUACACUGGGGAGGGGUGGAGCGAGCCACCCCAGGGCCCUGCUGCCUUUAAGGGGUUUUUUCUACGUAUUGCUGAAUAUUAACGGAGCAUGCAGCCAAAACAAGUAAAUGGAGGCUGUGAAGUCACUUGUUGCUCAGAGCUUGCUGCAUCCCAGGAAGGGGCGUGGAUGGAGGGAGGGACGGAUGGAUGGAUGGAUGGAUGGAAGGAGCGAGCGAGUGCCUUGGCCGUGGCAGCAGCCGCCGGUGUGUGGUGAGGAUGAAGAAAUGUCCUCUGGAGGAUGUUUCUGAGCAAGGUCCCGCAAUCUGAAGUGUGUGGUAAAAAUCAGUGCAAAGCAUCAGCAGUCACAAUGCCAGUGGAGCUAAGGGUGGGUUUGGGCAGGGAGGACCCCGGUAGCCACGGGCUGUGGUUUUCCUCAGGGCUGCACCGUGCCCUGAGCCGCUGCUGCUGGCGCAGGGAGGGCAGGAGCGUUUCCCAAAGGCUCCCCAGAGUUUGGUGCGUCUGGCUGUUGGCAGCGGAGCACACCCCGGGGUGUCCCGCUGCCCAUGACUGUCCCGCCAGCAGCAGGCGCUGGCGCGUCCCCCUGCAGGACGAAGCUGCCCGGGGGGUGUCCAACCUCGCGCCCCAGCACGGCGGCUGCAGCUGAGCAGCAUCCCUUUGCAAAACCACGUGCUGGUUUUUCUUGGUUGUUUCCAAGCAACAAUAAUCUGUACUUUGGAAAAAACCUCCAUAUUUUCUUAAGAAAAGACUGUGAUGGUGUCGUGUCCACCAAGCAGGGGACAGUCCUCCGCAGCUGGGUGGCCAUGCCGGCUGCUCCGCGUGUGCCCACUGUGUGUACCACCAAGAUACAGAGAAAGGAGAAAGAGUUCUACGAGGUACCCAGCUCAUGUGCACGGCCUGGGUCAUCUGCUGAAUCGCUUCGUUCUUCUCUUCUGCUUCACCUCUCUUGUUGGUCUGGCCCACAAGCUUUACAGAAGUUGGGACUGUCCUGCCCUGGAACAGGACCCAUGGACCGUUGCAGAUCCACCUGGAAUGCUCCAAUGCGCAGGGUCUGCUUGUGUAACUAAUAGGCAGGCUCACUUGCUGGAAGGAGGGGGAAAGCAGCAGUUAAAAGGACGCAGCCAGUUCAGUGAACAUUAAUCUUGUCCCCAGCAAAACCACUGCCAGCACCUUGGAAGAUUUUCAGCUUUUCCACAAGGUCUUUAGGUUGGAGUCAAGAUAAAGGCUGAAUGUGCCCGUUCCCAGCCCCAAGGUCUGCGGUGAGGGCCAGUGCUGGGAACAGUCCUUGCCACGAAAAGCAUGGAAAUCUUUUAGAAACUCAGAAACUAAUGGGAAAAACAAUAAUUCCCAUUUAUCUCAACAGACGAUUCCUCAUUGCUGCUCAGGACCUGCGAUGUAGUCACUUCUCUGAUUUAAAAGAAAAAAUAUCUCCAUCAGGAGAGAACAGUAAUCUGAAUUUCAUCUUGUCUCCUCACCUUUACCAAAUGGAGUGGUUCCGUUCUGUUCCAUGAGACCGGUAAAAUCAGGACUUGCCUUUGCUGAGAGGUGACACAAACAUCAGAUUUCCAUAAAAAUGGAAUUUUGUAUUUAAAAAAGAAAUACAAAAGCAAAGAAAGGAACAGUGCCCACGUACCCCCCAACCGAAGAACCUGACAAAGCCGCCGGAAGGCGCAGCUCUGCCCUGGGGUGUUCGCGCCUCCCAAGGGGAGCGCGUCAGCCCCAGCGCCCUGCGUGCUGGCAAUGCUCUUGAAGGGGUGUUUCUGUUGAGAGGAAAGAACGAGUGGCUUUGUGACAAAGAAACAUCUGAGUUUUCCAAAGAGGAGGAGCAAGCUGGCUGUCAGUUUCAGUGUCACCUGACGGGGCCUGAAGCACAUGAGCCAGCUGGAGGUUUCAGCAGGAGCUCCCACCAGGAGGGAAUCAGGCACUGACAUGACGGACACUGCUCUGGACAGACAGACGGACGGCGGCUCAGCCCAGGCUGGGUCUGUGGGUGAGGUGGCUGCCUGGGCUAGACCUGCUUCUCAUUCCCUGGUCUGCCAACGGGCUUGGGAUUAACGAGGUGAUCACUUGGGCUCUCAGGUGCUGCAGCCGAGCCCCAGCCCCACCAGCAGAAACUGAAGCACUGAACUAUUUAUGUUCCAGUUCCUACAGCUAUUUUUAAUGCAGGUUCAGAGACUUUGCUGUAUUAUCCUUCCUUUUCAGUGGCUGCUUCUUUUCUUAAUCUCAUCUCAUUUUCCCUGCCCUUUCUUUAUCUUUGGAUCAAUUUAUACCAUCAUUUUUAUCACGGUCUAAUCAGAACACACUUUAUAAUUUCAGAUAAAUGUAGUCAUGGUAAUUUUCCACUCCAUUUAGGUCAAGCCAGGAUGAAGCAAUUUUUUUACAUCUUAUCUAGUAACCACCAGAAAUUACUCCUUGUUAAACUAUCUGUUCCUUUGCUUUUCUAAUGUUAUUAGAUUUUAAUGUCAAGUGUCAGUCUCCUUUUUGGUAUUUUUCAGUAUAUAGGUUCUGUGCUGCAAGUCAACCUGUAAACCCUGGAGGGAAAUGCUGGGGGUCCUCUUUGUGUCCCACAAGGGGCCCGUGCAGAGCGGGGCUGGCGCUGGGCUUUGCCGACAGCGGGCGCGCAGCCGCCGCGGUCACCGGCACCCCCUGCUCAGGCUGCGACCGGCCUGGCGACGUCCCUGCUGAGAGGGUCACGCUGGGACUGAGCCGCUUGGGUGCCGGGGGGACGCGGCAGCGGGUUCGGGAGCCGCAGCGCAGGUGGGUGAGCAGCCCCGAGCCCUGUCCCGCUGCACAAACCCGCGUUUUGGUGCUGCCACACCAGCGGCGCGGCCAUGGGCACGUCCCGGCACCCUGCCCGGGGUUUCACCUGCUUCUGCAGCCGGCAGAAACCUGCCCCGCUGUCUGAGGCACUUCAAACACGACUCUGCUAUCUCUGGGUGACAGACGCUAUCUGAGCUUUAAUAGUAUUAUGCAUGAUAAUAUUAUUCAGCUUGAAGCAAGCUAGCAAAAUGUUAACAAUAUUUUAAUUUGAUAUCACAUGAUUUCAAAAACAUUUAUGUUCCAAAUUGUCAUCCUUGGCCUCUAUUUUAUCCUCUCUCUGAGGGUGGUUUUUGUUCCCGCUUUGUAAUGCAAACAGCAGCCCCGGUGCUCUGGCUUCCCUCGCAAAGGUUAAGAACACACGCCUGGUGGCGUCCCGGCUGGUGGCAAAGGGCGGGCGCUGGGCCGGGCCCCAGCAGGUCCCGCUCGGCACGGCGGCCGCGCAGCCCCCGGCCUGGGGGUGGCCCAACACAUCCAGUUCAGGGCUUGUUUUGAUUGAAUAUUGUAGCUAUUGGCAAAGAUAUGAACCAGCCUUCUGAACGUGUGCGAAGUGAGGACAAAAGUGUUCAGGAUAAACAUUAUUUUAAAACCUCUGAGUACUUAGUGUAGUUAGACGUUUUAGUUUUAAGCCCGUGCUGUGGCUGCUGGCCAGGCUGCUGUGAGGACGGGCAGCGGGGCCCAGGGCACCCUCCGUGGAGAAGGAGUUCGGCAGAUUCGGCAUCGCGUCCCUUGGUGUCGACAGGGCUUGGAGCGAGGGAUGGAUACUGGCCUCGGGGACCCGGCAAACCUGUUCCCCCUGGCUGGACACCCAGACGGCGGCUGCGUUUCCCCAAGCAGCACGGAGCUCCUGGCGGGUCUGGAGGAUGUACAGGCAUCGCCGUGGAUCCAGACACUGGAUGUCCCAAAAGAAACGGUCCGUUCUGUCCCUGCCGGCCGGGCGACUAUACAAGUGUGCUCUGGUGUCUGCUGGAGGGUGCAGGCAUUCCCGAGCCACCGGCACAGCCUGCGUUCAGCAGCACACACAGACCAUUUCUGACCCGUCUCAGCCCCUCCUGCAGCCCAGGCUGGCAGCAGCAUCUCCCACCCUGCAAGUACUGCAGAGUGGGGACCACACAUAGAAUCAUGGACUGGCUGAGUUGAAGGGACCUCUGGAGAUCCCCAAUCCAACCCCCCCACUCACGCAGUGUCACAAAGCAGAUCCCAGGGGGUUUGAAUGUCUCAGAGCAGGAGACUCCACACCCGCUCUGGGCAGCCUGGGCCAGGCUCUGGCACCUCCCAGCAAACAAGUUUCUGCUCAUGUUCAGAUGGAGCCUCCUGUAUUUCAGUCUGUGCCUGUGGUCCGUCACUGUGGGUCCCCAGGGCAGCUGCCAGCAGCUGAGAUGCCAGCUCAGAGAUGUCCCUGCUGUCCCAAUCAGACAUGCCCAGCGAGGAGAGGAAAGCAGAGGGAGGGCUGAAGCGAGCAGGCCUGUCUGGGAAAGGCACCUGAACAGCCUGGCCCUCCUGGACCUUCGGCAGCCCACACAGCUGCCAGGGGACACGGCACAGGGCGGGGCGGCAGCCGGUCCCUGCACCGCGCUGGUGAGAGCUGCCCUGAGCGCGCGGGACGCUGAGAUGUUCUGAUGGCAUCCAAACGGCUCAUGGUACUCAGCCGCAUCAUCUCUCCUCUGUGAAGGAUGUGAACUCCUCUAGAAUAAAAUAAAAUCCCUGCUUCCCAGCAGUCUGCAGAGUUAAAAUUCUGAAGAUUACACUGUGGAUAUUGCUGCUUAAUAAUUACAGGUGGCAGCACAAACUAGUAGCAAGAGUGCUACAAUCAAAGGGAAGCAAGGGAAAUUACUUGGUGAUGCUUUUAUGGGGCUCUAACGGAUGCAUAAAAAACUUAAGCUAUGUAAUUUCUACUUUCAAAAUGAAACUGAAACAGGUAAGAACUGACUGCCUAAGCAUUUAUUUCAUGUCUUUCACUGAGUUGUCUAAGACACCUCGCGACACCUGAGUGCCACAAACCCUGUCCUUGAGGAGCCACCAGCCAUGACAUGAGGAGGUGACAUGGACACAGCUCAUGGGAACCCAGCAGCAACUCAGCCACAUUCCUCAACAACCACGCGAAGUUGCUUACAGCCCGCAACACUACCUCAGUUUUAGUGCUUGUUCCAAACUGCCCUUUGGCUUUGUGCUUUUGAAUUGCUUUAAGGUUGUGACUCGGUAUUUCUCUCCCAGGUGCUGACAGCCAGGGUGUGCGCCGGUGUGUGCUGGGCCGGGAACCCAAGCACCGACACUCGUGUCUUGCAAUGAGACCAGAAAUGACAGAACAGAACAGCUCCAUGUCAGCUUGUGCCAUCGACAUCCCAGCUCGCUCUGGAUGGACACCAGGAUCACGGGCAGUUCAGGGGGGCACAGAGCCCCUGAGGUGGGUGGCUGGACACCAGGAUCCAGGGCAGUUCAGGUGGGCACAGUCCCCCGAAGAUGGGCAGCCCGGCCCCUGCUCCAUGCCGGCGCAGCUGGGGUCUUUAUCCAGCAGGUGAAGCGGCAGAGGAUGGACCUGCAGACCUCUCUGGGCCGAGCAGCUCUGUCUGGGGCCUGGGGGAAAGUGUUUCUUUAUAAGCCCCUGAGCCCCCCCCUGCUGCGCCCACGGCGCCCGCCCUGUCCCGCGGCACCAGAGCCCCCGCGCUGCCCCGGGAGCUGCUCCGUGCCCGCAGGGAUGUGCUGGGGGCUGGAGGAGGGCUUUCGUUUGUAAGCUGUUAGUGAUUCACCCAGGGAAGGGGCUGAGGUACGAGGGGGCUGCUGCAUCCAGCCCUUGCCCAGUUCCACGUGUCCCGCUCUCACAGACAGAGAGAACAACACCACAUUCCCUCUCGGCUCCUCUUCCCGCAAGGGCGCCAGUGACACUCACCGUGGGAAACGUCCUGUGACAGACCUUCCCGUCAGGUCGUGGUUACUGCAGAGCGGCUCUAUGCAAACACGGCUAUUUUUUCAGGUUUAAUUGAAUUUUCCGAGUUCCUGGUCAUUGGGCUGCUGUACGCACAUCAUACUUACCAGUUAUUCGUCUGUAUUUCUCCAUGUACUCACAAUCUUGACCCAGUCACAGUGACAUUUCCUGCCUGGAAUGUAAAGUCAGUUAGAAGUCAUGCUCCGAGAGCUGUGAGCCUUCCCAGGAAAACUUGUCACAAGCAGAAUUGGAUAGAAUAUUAUUAUAAUAAUAGCUGUUGGUUCUAGUGUGAUAAAUUUUAAACAAAAUAAGGCUCGAUGAAUCAUAUUGUAUAAUAUAUUGUAUUGUUUAGUGUUGUAUUGAAAACUAGAGGAUUAACUGAGAUCUGAAAACCAUUCCUGAAAUGUGCACUUAUUUGUAAAUGGAUAGCACCAAAUACAGCUACAGAUUGAGGCACAUGAACAUGUUCCUGUGGCAUUACUAUCAAUAUGAGCUACCAGAUGUGGAGCCAGCCUUCGGACGCGCUGCUGAGCCCCGUCCGCGCUCCCUGUGCGCGCUCCCGCUGCCCCGGCAGCGCCGCGGAGACCCGGCGGCGGGAGAAGGGUCACUGCCCUGCUCGGUGCCUGCCAUGGCUGCGGCACUGGAGCGGUUUGGGGUGCGUUGGGACACACUGGUCCCUCACGCCGGGGUCUCGUGCCCUCCCCUGGUGACACAGGUUUGCCAGUUACUGACCAGCUCCGCUCCUCAGGCGAGGCACUGGUGACGGCACCUGCUGCUGGGACCAGCUGGGCCUUCACUGCACCCUCCCGGCCCCAUGGAG
Molecule: long non-coding RNA, 13773 nt
Organism: Columba livia (rock pigeon)
Lineage: Eukaryota; Metazoa; Chordata; Aves; Columbiformes; Columbidae
Exons: 5
Source: RefSeq, a predicted model, not a curated record